Molecule: ribosomal RNA, 596 nt
Filed under: Sporisorium occidentale
Lineage: Eukaryota; Fungi; Basidiomycota; Ustilaginomycetes; Ustilaginales; Ustilaginaceae
Description: LSU rRNA
Rfam family: Eukaryotic large subunit ribosomal RNA
Source: RNAcentral
ACGGCGAGUGAAGAGGGAAGAGCCCAAGAUUGAAAGCUGGCGUCUUCGGCGUCCGCAUUGUAAUCUCAAGAAGUGUUUUCCGCUUCGGACCAUGCCUAAGUCCCUUGGAAAAGGGCAUCAUAGAGGGUGAUAAUCCCGUACAUGGCAUGGAGCGCCCGAAGCUUUGUGAUACGCUUUCUAAGAGUCGAGUUGUUUGGGAAUGCAGCUCAAAAUGGGUGGUAAAUGCCAUCUAAGGCUAAAUAUUGGGGAGAGACCGAUAGCGAACAAGUACAGUGAUGGAAAGAUGAAAAGAACUUUGAAAAGAGAGUUAAACAGUACGUGAAAUUGCCAAAAGGGAAGGGUAGGAGGUCAGAGAUGCGUCUUGGGAUUCAGCCUUGCUUUUGCUUGGUGUUUUUCCCAAGUUGCAGGCCAACGUCGGUUUUGGGCACUGGAGAAGGGUGGAAGGAACGUGGCACCUCUCGGGGUGUGUUAUAGCCUUCCACUGGAUACAGCGACCGGGACCGAGGACAGCAGCGUACUCGCAAGAGCGGGCCUUCGGGCACCUUUACGCUUAGGGCGUUGGCAUAAUGGCCCUCUACCACCCGUCUUGAAACCCG